Molecule: ribosomal RNA, 492 nt
Filed under: uncultured bacterium
Lineage: Bacteria
Description: partial 16S ribosomal RNA
Rfam family: Bacterial small subunit ribosomal RNA
Source: RNAcentral
AGUGAACGCUGGCGGUAGGCCUAACACAUGCAAGUCGAACGGCAGCACAGUAAGAGCUUGCUCUUACGGGUGGCGAGUGGCAGACGGGUGAGGAAUACAUCGGAAUCUACUUUUUCGUGGGGGAUAACGUAGGGAAACUUACGCUAAUACCGCAUACGACCUACGGGUGAAAGCAGGGGAUCUUCGGACCUUGCGCGAUUGAAUGAGCCGAUGUCGGAUUAGCUAGUUGGCGGGGUAAAGGCCCACCAAGGCGACGAUCCGUAGCUGGUCUGAGAGGAUGAUCAGCCACACUGGAACUGAGACACGGUCCAGACUCCUACGGGAGGCAGCAGUGGGGAAUAUUGGACAAUGGGCGCAAGCCUGAUCCAGCCAUACCGCGUGGGUGAAGAAGGCCUUCGGGUUGUAAAGCCCUUUUGUUGGGAAAGAAAAGCAGCAGGUUAAUACCCCGCUGUUCUGACGGUACCCAAAGAAUAGGCACCGGCUAACUUCGUG